GCAGGUGUGGCGGAAUGGCAGACGCAUCAGACUCAAAAUCUGACGAGGGUAACCUUGUGUGGGUUCAAGUCCCACCACCUGCA
This 83-nucleotide transfer RNA is filed under the name Lachnospiraceae bacterium. RNAcentral describes it as "tRNA-Leu". It matches the Rfam family "tRNA". Rfam says of the family: Transfer RNA (tRNA) molecules are approximately 80 nucleotides in length. Their secondary structure includes four short double-helical elements and three loops (D, anti-codon, and T loops). Lineage: Bacteria; Bacillati; Bacillota; Clostridia; Lachnospirales; Lachnospiraceae. The record is from RNAcentral.